GGCCGGAUGGUGGAAUCGGUAGACACAAGGGCUGUGUGGGUUCAAGUCCCACUCCGGCUACCA
RNAcentral lists this transfer RNA (63 nucleotides) under Kluyvera ascorbata. RNAcentral's name for it is "tRNA-OTHER". It matches the Rfam family "tRNA". From Rfam's summary of the family: Transfer RNA (tRNA) molecules are approximately 80 nucleotides in length. Their secondary structure includes four short double-helical elements and three loops (D, anti-codon, and T loops). The record is from RNAcentral. Lineage: Bacteria; Pseudomonadati; Pseudomonadota; Gammaproteobacteria; Enterobacterales; Enterobacteriaceae.